This 253-nucleotide ribosomal RNA is filed under the name uncultured bacterium. RNAcentral describes it as "partial 16S ribosomal RNA". It matches the Rfam family "Bacterial small subunit ribosomal RNA", at positions 524 to 776 of the family's 1533-position model. The record is from RNAcentral.
CACGUAGGGACCGAGCGUUGUCCGGAUUUAUUGGGCGUAAAGAGCUCGUAGGCGGUCGCGUAAGUCGGGUGUGAAAUCUCCAGGCUCAACUUGGAGGGGCCACCCGAUACUGCACGACUCGAGUCCGGUAGGGGAGUGGGGAAUUCCUGGUGUAGCGGUGAAAUGCGCAGAUAUCAGGAGGAACACCGGUGGCGAAGGCGCCACUCUGGGCCGGUACUGACGCUGAGGAGCGAAAGCGUGGGUAGCAAACAGG